RNAcentral lists this ribosomal RNA (848 nucleotides) under uncultured marine bacterium. Its description in RNAcentral is "bacterial SSU rRNA". It matches the Rfam family "Bacterial small subunit ribosomal RNA", at positions 68 to 938 of the family's 1533-position model. The record is from RNAcentral.
GGGGGAGCGCAGCUAUCUGCAGUCGACGCAUAGCAUACUGAGUGGCAAACGGGUGAGUAUAAUGUGGGUAUCUACCUUUUGGUUUGGAAUAACAUGAGGAGACUCGUGCUAAUACCGGAUAAGCCUUCACAGGGAAAGUUUUAUACGCCGAAAGAUGAGCCCGCACUUGAUUAGUUUGUUGGUGAGGUAAUGGCUCACCAAGACUAUUAUCAAUAGCUGGUCUGAGAGGACGAUCAGCCACAUUGGGACUGAGACACGGCCCAGACUCCUACGGGAGGCAGCAGUAAGGAAUCUUGCACAAUGGGGGAAACCCUGAUGCAGCGAUGCCGCGUGAGUGAAGAAGGCCCUUGGGUUGUAAAACUCUUUCGUCGGGGAAGAAAAUGACUGUACCCGAAUAAGAAGGUCCGGCUAACUUCGUGCCAGCAGCCGCGGUAAUACGAAGGGACCUAGCGUAGUUCGGAAUUACUGGGCUUAAAGAGCUCGUAGGUGGUUAAAAAAGUUGAUGGUGAAAUCCCAAGGCUCAACCUUGGAACUGCCAUCAAAACUUUUUAGCUAGAGUGUGAUAGAGGAAAGUGGAAUUUCUAGUGUAGAGGUGAAAUUCGUAGAUAUUAGAAAGAACACCAAAUGCGAAGGCAACUUUCUGGGUCACUACUGACACUGAGGAGCGAAAGCAUGGGUAGCGAAGAGGAUUAGAUACCCUCGUAGUCCAUGCCGUAAACGAUGUGUGCUAGACGUUGGAAAUAUAUUUUUCAGUGUCGCAGCGAAAGCAUUAAGCACACCGCCUGGGGAGUACGACCGCAAGGUUAAAACUCAAAUGAAUUGACGGGGACCCGCACAAGCAGUGGAGC